Molecule: long non-coding RNA, 697 nt
Organism: Engraulis encrasicolus (European anchovy)
Lineage: Eukaryota; Metazoa; Chordata; Actinopteri; Clupeiformes; Engraulidae
Exons: 2
Source: RefSeq, a predicted model, not a curated record
CACACACACACACACACCUACAGGUACACACACACACACACACACACACACACACACACACACACACACACACACACACACACACACACACACACACACACACACACACACACACACACACACCAAACCACAUUGAAGAGCCUUGAACAUGUGCCGUAGAGCCUUAAUUGUCCCCAAGUGUGUGUGUGUGUGUGUGUGUGUGUGUGUGUGUGUGUGUGUGUGACAGACAGACUGUUUUCCAUUGGGAAUUGUGGGAAAUUCUCCACGGGUAUGCUAUCGCAGCCGAGUCCCUACAAUAGUCACUCAUCAGUGAUGUCACUGAGGAUUCUGUAGCACAGCUCUUCCUUGCAUGCGCAUUUGUGGUGUGUGCAUACAUACGUGAGUGUGUGUGUGUGUGUGUGUGUGUGUGUGUGUGUGUGUGUGUGUGUGUGUGUGUGUGUGUGUGUGUGUGUGUGUGUGUGUGUGUGUGUGUGUGUGUGUGUGUGUGUGUGUGUGCGUGCGUACCGCAGGUACAUUGUGUGUUUGUUGUGACAUGAGAUGGUUGUCUGUUCUGCGAUGAUGAUGAUGAUGAUGAUGAUGAUGAUGGUCUGUUCUGAGGUGAUGAGUAUGUGUAUAUUCUGAGCUACUAUGGUGAUGAGUAUGUCGUUGUCAAUGAUUAUGUUUUAUGAGUUCAAUAAAGUCUACUGGAUCCACCACA